UACGUAGGGUGCGAGCGUUGUCCGGAAUUAUUGGGCGUAAAGAGCUCGUAGGCGGUGUGUCGCGUCGGCCGUGAAAACCUGGGGCUCAACUCUGGGCGUGCGGUCGAUACGGGCAUCACUGGAGUUCGGCAGGGGAGACUGGAAUUCCUGGUGUAGCGGUGAAAUGCGCAGAUAUCAGGAGGAACACCGAUGGCGAAGGCAGGUCUCUGGGCCGAUACUGACGCUGAGGAGCGAAAGCGUGGGGAGCGAACAGG
RNAcentral lists this ribosomal RNA (254 nucleotides) under uncultured bacterium. RNAcentral's name for it is "partial 16S ribosomal RNA". It matches the Rfam family "Bacterial small subunit ribosomal RNA", at positions 524 to 776 of the family's 1533-position model. The record is from RNAcentral.